Small nucleolar RNA from Oncorhynchus tshawytscha (Chinook salmon), 123 nucleotides. Lineage: Eukaryota; Metazoa; Chordata; Actinopteri; Salmoniformes; Salmonidae. The record is from Ensembl.
GCACCUCAGCAAACCCUGUCCUCCUGUCUGUGUUGGACAUGGCCAAUGAUGGUGCCAUAGUGACUCAAAGUAUAUCCAGGUGGACCUCCCUCUGGAGUCUGCCUCUACAGCUUUUACACAGUU